GUAGGUGGCAAGCGUUGUCCGGAAUUAUUGGGCGUAAAGCGCGCGCAGGCGGUCCUUUAAGUCUGAUGUGAAAGCCCACGGCUCAACCGUGGAGGGUCAUUGGAAACUGGGGGACUUGAGUACAGAAGAGGAAAGCGGAAUUCCACGUGUAGCGGUGAAAUGCGUAGAGGUGUGGAGGAACACCAGUGGCGAAGGCGGCUUUCUGGUCUGUAACUGAAGCUGAGGCGCGAAAGCGUGGGGAGCAAACAGGGAUUAGAUACCCUGGUAGUCCACGCCGUAAACGAUGAGUGCUAAGUGUUAGGGGGUUUCCCGCCCCUUAGUGCUGCAGCUAACGCAUUAAGCACUCCGCCUGGGGAGUACGGCCGCAAGGCUG
This 373-nucleotide ribosomal RNA is filed under the name uncultured organism. RNAcentral describes it as "partial 16S ribosomal RNA". It matches the Rfam family "Bacterial small subunit ribosomal RNA", at positions 527 to 896 of the family's 1533-position model. The record is from RNAcentral.